This 253-nucleotide ribosomal RNA is filed under the name uncultured bacterium. RNAcentral's name for it is "partial 16S ribosomal RNA". It matches the Rfam family "Bacterial small subunit ribosomal RNA", at positions 524 to 776 of the family's 1533-position model. The record is from RNAcentral.
UACGGGGGGGGUAAGCGUUGUUCGGAAUUACUGGGCGUAAAGGGCUCGUAGGCGGCCAACUAAGUCAUACGUGAAAUCCCUCGGCUUAACCGGGGAACUGCGUCUGAUACUGGAUGGCUUGAGUUUGGGAGAGGGAUGCGGAAUUCCAGGUGUAGCGGUGAAAUGCGUAGAUAUCUGGAGGAACACCGGUGGCGAAGGCGGCAUCCUGGACCAACACUGACGCUGAUGAGCGAAAGCCAGGGGAGCAAACGGG